This 536-nucleotide small RNA is filed under the name Pan troglodytes (chimpanzee). Its description in RNAcentral is "processed transcript". Lineage: Eukaryota; Metazoa; Chordata; Mammalia; Primates; Hominidae. The record is from RNAcentral.
GAAACGUGCUGGGAUGGCAAGAUGCCAAUUCUACAGAGUUUGACCCUACGACCAGUCAUCCCGUGGGAAACUCUAUGGAGACGCAGACUACUUGGAAGAGAGGCACCGCCACCGAUUUGAGGUGAGGAUUCCAGCUUGCUGGUACUCUGGAAAGAUAGUGAGCUGAGAGACCAGCAGAAUUAUUUUUCAUGCCUCAACAGGUGAAUCCAGUCUGGAAAAAGUGUUUGGAAGAACAAGGCUUGAAGUUUGUUGGCCAAGAUGUUGAAGGAGAGAGAAUGGAAAUUGUGGAGUUAGAAGAUCAUCCCUUUUUUGUUGGGGUUCAGUACCACCCUGAGUUCCUGUCCAGACCUAUCAAGCCCUCCCCACCAUACUUUGGCCUCCUCCUGGCCUCUGUGGGGCGGCUCUCACAUUACCUCCAGAAAGGCUGCAGGCUCUCACCCAGGGACACCUAUAGUGACAGGAGUGGAAGCAGCUCCCCUGACUCUGAAAUCACCGAACUGAAGUUUCCAUCAAUAAAUCAUGACUGAUCUUGUAGC